CUAAUAGUCUUGUUUUUCUGGAUAAGCUUAGCCUGUCCUAACCUGGAUUCUAAUCAGAAUAGGCUAAGCAUCGUCACUCUUCGAGGACCCGUGAUGUAUCCCCAGACCUAGUUAUUUCCCUAGGUCUGUCCCAUAAAUUCUGAUGAUGAAA
This 151-nucleotide small nucleolar RNA is filed under the name Sorex araneus (European shrew). RNAcentral's name for it is "Small nucleolar RNA SNORA72 (ENSSARG00000020146.1)". The record is from RNAcentral. Lineage: Eukaryota; Metazoa; Chordata; Mammalia; Eulipotyphla; Soricidae.